RNAcentral lists this ribosomal RNA (229 nucleotides) under uncultured bacterium. RNAcentral's name for it is "partial 16S ribosomal RNA". It matches the Rfam family "Bacterial small subunit ribosomal RNA", at positions 568 to 796 of the family's 1533-position model. The record is from RNAcentral.
GGCGUAGGCGGGCUAAUAAGUCAGUGGUGAAAUCUCUCGGCUCAACCGGGAAACUGCCAUUGAUACUGUUAGUCUUGAGUUCGGUUGAGGUAGGCGGAAUGUGUAAUGUAGCGGUGAAAUGCUUAGAUAUUACACAGAACACCAAUUGCGUAGGCAGCUUACUAGACCGACACUGACGCUGAGGCACGAAAGCGUGGGGAGCGAACAGGAUUAGAUACCCUGGUAGUCC